GACGAACGCUGGCGGCGCGCUUAACACAUGCAAGUCGAACGGAAAGGCCUGCUUUCCCUUGUGGAUUGCGGGUACUCGAGUGGCGAACGGGUGAGUAACACGUGAGUGAUCUGCCCCCAACUUGGGUAUAAGCCUGGGAAACUGGGUCUAAUUCCCGAUAGGACUGCAGGGUGGUGCCUGUGGUGGAAAACGAUUUUCUAGUGGUUGGGGAUGAGCUCGCGGCCUAUCAGCUUGUUGGUGGGGUAAUGGCCUACCAAGGCGGCGACGGGUAGCCGGCCUGAGAGGCUGGACGGCCACAUUGGGACUGAGAUGCGGCCCAGACUCCUACGGGCGGCAGCAGUGGGGACUAUUGCACAAUGGGCGGAAGCCUGAUGCAGCGACGCCGCGUGGGGGAUGACGGCCUUCGGGUUGUAAACUCCUUUCGACCGCGAGGAAGCCACCUGGUUGGAAGGGUGGUGACGGUAGUGGUAGAAGAAGCACCGGCUAACUACGUG
RNAcentral lists this ribosomal RNA (494 nucleotides) under uncultured bacterium. RNAcentral describes it as "partial 16S ribosomal RNA". It matches the Rfam family "Bacterial small subunit ribosomal RNA", at positions 28 to 507 of the family's 1533-position model. The record is from RNAcentral.